CGAACGCUGGCGGCGUGCUUACCACAUGCAAAUCGAACGGAAAGGCCCCUUUGGGGGUACUCGAGUGGCGAAAGGGUGAGUAACACGUGAGUAACCUGCCCUUGACUUCGGGAUAACUUCAGGAAACUGGGGCUAAUACCGGAUAGGAAUCCUUGCUGCAUGGUGGGGGUUGGAAAGCUUCGGCGGUUUUGGAUGGACUCGCGGCUUAUCAGCUUGUUGGUGGGGUAGUGGCUUACCAAGGCUUUGACGGGUAGCCGGCCUGAGAGGGCGACCGGCCACAUUGGGACUGAGAUACGGCCCAGACUCCUACGGGAGGCAGCAGUGGGGAAUAUUGCACAAUGGGCGGAAGCCUGAUGCAGCAACGCCGCGUGCGGGAUGACGGCCUUCGGGUUGUAAACCGCUUUCAGCAGGGGCGAAGCUUGUGGUGACGGUACCUGCAGAAGAAGCACCGGCUAACUACGUG
This 463-nucleotide ribosomal RNA is filed under the name uncultured bacterium. RNAcentral describes it as "partial 16S ribosomal RNA". It matches the Rfam family "Bacterial small subunit ribosomal RNA", at positions 30 to 507 of the family's 1533-position model. The record is from RNAcentral.